RNAcentral lists this long non-coding RNA (1617 nucleotides) under Selaginella moellendorffii. Its description in RNAcentral is "long non-coding RNA (SMOE_LNC002448)". Lineage: Eukaryota; Viridiplantae; Streptophyta; Lycopodiopsida; Selaginellales; Selaginellaceae. The record is from RNAcentral.
GAGGCACUCCUGGCUACGUCGCACCGGAGUGUGUUCAGGAAGGAACAGUGACUGAAAAAUCGGAUGUUUUCGGCUUCGGGGUAUUGCUGCUCGAGAUCAUAACAGGUUGCAGGAGCAGGAAUCUCUCGGAUGAUUUCCUGAAGGACUACCUGUUGGUCAGUGAAAGGGACGAGAAGGCUGUUGCUCACCUCCACCAAGACGACAAGGAAAGAGAGAGAUUGAAGACCGUGGUAAGUUUGUGUGUCCGAGACGAUCCAGACUUACGGCCCUCGAUGAUGAACGUGGUACCAAUGAUGCAAGGAGUUAUUAAGCUUCCUCAGAUCCCCUCGGAGUCGCAGCUCCAGUUCUUCCUCGCUUACAGAUCCAAACUUCAGCUUAGCAGAAGCACAACCUCGGACGUACCUCAGUACAGUUCUAAUAAGUUGCUGGGUUCGUCAACGUCGUUUGGAUUUCUCUCACAAGAGAGCCUGGGUUGUCGAUAAUUGGAUAGUGCUCAGUACCUAUACAAUGAUAUGUAAGUAAUUCAUACCUUGUGCCCAGUAUAUCCGUUACAGUCCACAAGAGUUGUAUAGCAAUCCUAACUUGAAGAAGGAGCUUGCUUCUUCCCGAUCUGGAAAUUUGCAAAGAAAGUAAGAAAACAAACCUGCAACGACUUGCUCAAGAGCUCGUGCUUCGAAAUCGAGCGAGCCAAAGUAAUCAAGCAAAUGGCUAGCCUGCUUUUGACUCAAGUGACACUCUUCUACUGGAACUCAAGUAUACCUUUGAUCGAACUUCUCCAGUUCAGACACAUCCCAUUGGCUUUCACCACGAACAAAAUUUCCCGCCGUUUCUAAAGCGAUUCCUCUCUCACCACAGCUUUCGCUAAACUGGAAAGAAAAGAAAAAAAAGAGAGGGGGAGUCGAAGGAAAACAAAAUCUGUGAGAAGAUUUCUCGUACCUGAUUCCUACGGAUUUCCUUCAACCUGUUAAAGCAUAUCCACAUAAACUCAAGUCAGUCACAAAGCUCGGCUAUAACCAAGUCUAAACGUAUCUGCAAAGACUUGUUCAAAGCGCGUUGGAACAUCCAAGUAUUUGAGCGCCGGAGCCGCAAGAGAGGUCGAGAACUCCAUGGCUACCAAAGGAGAGCUGUGCUUCAUCUUCUCGUCGAUCUUCAUCCUGGGAUUUUCUCGAGCGGAACUGUACUACAGGAAUUUCACCAGUGAAGUAAAUGGUCCCCUGUAUCCGCUUGAUCCAUCCGGCUUGAGUGGCCGCUACACUGAUUUAUGGUCCAACUACACCGACACGGACAUGAGCUUCCAGGUGUGGAUGCUGAGCUAUGACGCCACAACACCAAGAUCGUUCUUCCUGGCACUGGUUGGAAUUCGCAAUCCAAGUAAGCUCUGGGACCUCACAAAACCGGUCGUUCUGUGGAAGGCCCGUCAGACGAGGCUUGUAGGAGAGAAUGCCACUCUAGCAUUCACCACCGAUGGAGAGCUCAAGCUUGAAGAAGAUGGCGACGUUGUCUGGUCCUCCAACACCACAAACAAAGGCGUCCGGUGGCUUGCCAUAUCCGACAGCGCGACCAUAAUGCUCCUGGAUGAAAGUGAAAGCAAUGUCAUCUGGCAAAGUAGCGACGAAC